AGACUCAGUCUCAAAAACAAAUAAACAAACACCAAAAAACCCGUAUAACUUUAAUGGUGGAGACAAAAACAGAUUAUGCUGUAAUCUUUACAUAAUAGUGAUUCAAUUUUUUUGACCUUGCUAAUAACUGCUUUAAGGAAAAACUACACUUAAUUAAAUUAACAAUUCUGAAAUGGAAACUCAAUUUGCAAACUAAGUAUUUCUCCUAACCUGAACAUGUAUAAACCAAUAUGCAUAUAUACAAAAUCACACAUGAACCCAAACACACAGUAAUGUAUAGAAAAAUACAGAAUGUCAGAGCUGAAAGAGAUCUUUUGUCUAUAAUCUUCACUUUAGUGAUGAGGAGUAGAAGGAUAAGGUGAUUUGCCAAGCUCCAGUAGCAAGCUUAUGAUAGACACUAAACCCCAAGUUUCUGCAUAUUUGCAGUGAUGUCAUAGGCACUCUGUGUGAUGCUGGUGAAUAUUUCAGGUGUGAAAUAGUAAGCAUAAAAUUAGCAUUACCUGGGAAUCUGUUUAAAAUCAUUGACAGGCCUGAGAGUUUUCCAUACGGCCUGCACCCUAACCUCUGGGAAGAAAAUAUCCACAAUGAAAUUUCUACAAGAUUAGAGGAAGGAGAGAGGCAACGGGGAUUCCAUUUCUACUAGGAGUAUCAACCUCUGAGAGAAAAAUAUCCAUCUCUGUGGAUGUCAUCUGCUCUGCAGAAAACCCUUUCCUGGAACUCCCAGCCCUGCCCUUCUUAACACGACAUAUAGACAACCCCAGGUCGUGGGUCCCUAGAGGACACCACCGAUACUGUGAUGUGAUGAUGAGGCGCAGUUGGCUGAUCUAUAGGGGUAAAUGCGAGCAGAUCCACACAUUCAUUCAUAGAAUCUGACCACCAUAGCAGAUUUCUGCAGAACUCCACCACUGCCCUGUACCAACAGCCCCUCCAUGUGCAGCUGCCGCAACAGUACUCAUGAUGUCAAUGUCACUGACUGCUUUGCCAGCGCAGGGACCCGACCUCUUCACUGCCACUACCAAAAAUAAGAAGGAGUCCACCAGGCCCAUGCGAGUGGGCUGCAAGAAGGGGGCAUCUGUUCACCUGGAUGGCUAGGUUCCUCCUGACACCGGCACCUGAAUGACUUGCACCCUGCGCCUUCAAAUCUUUGCAGCACUGUCAAAGUCUUCUUUGUAAAUGCUUCUUCCCUUGCACGUGGACCCCUCAUUUUUCCCAGACACAUAUAGGCUCCCGCGUCUUUCUUACAGCCUGUUCCCCACCAACCCCACGUCCCCUAUCCCUGCCACAGUGUCAGGGCUUUUGGUGGAGGAUAAGGUGGCAGUGGAGGGUUGGGAGGGAGCCUGAAUUACGGAAAUAAUUCUCUGGAAAAGGCUUGCUCCAACCAAGCUGCUAGACAAACCCCUUCUCCUGGGACUGAUCUUCCCACCAGCUGCUCUCAUAAAACCUCCUGAUGGCUGGCGCUACAUGUCCUGGAUCAUAGGGUCCUUCUGCAUUCUGCCAGACGUUCUGUUCCUUUCUCCUCAAUGGACUCCUUCGGAGGGUAUUAGGGACGAUACCCUGGUGGGAAACCGCUUCCUUUAGGGAACCAAAUCCCUGUGGCUCCCGGGGUGUCACCAGAAGAAGCCGCUGCUAGAGAAGUGGGAGGAGAAGGGGCAACUCCGCCCCGCCCAGAGCCUCAGUGGUCUGCCAGUUCCCGUGGCCGUUGUAUUGGCCGGCAGGGGGCGCCGCGCUGCAUGCUUCCUGCAGGCCAAGAGUCCAAAACUUCUUGGUUCCCUUUAAGACAGCGUGAGAUGGGCUGCGAGUUUCUUGGUUGCUGACAGGGGUAGAGAAUAAUAGGUGAAUAAACAGAAAAUCCAGCC
Molecule: long non-coding RNA, 1856 nt
Filed under: Homo sapiens (human)
Lineage: Eukaryota; Metazoa; Chordata; Mammalia; Primates; Hominidae
Description: HSALNT0375565
Source: RNAcentral